RNAcentral lists this ribosomal RNA (533 nucleotides) under uncultured bacterium. RNAcentral's name for it is "bacterial SSU rRNA". It matches the Rfam family "Bacterial small subunit ribosomal RNA", at positions 777 to 1304 of the family's 1533-position model. The record is from RNAcentral.
AAUAGAUACCCGGUAGUCCUAGCCGUAAACGAUGAGCACUGGGUUGAAGGGUCCUCCAUAGCCUUUCAGCCGUAGCGAAAGUGUUAAGUGCUCCGCCUGGGGAGUAUGGUCGCAAGGCUGAAACUCAAAGAAAUUGACGGGGGCCCACACAAGCGGUGGAGGAUGUGGCUUAAUUCGAGGCUACGCGAAGAACCUUAUCCUAGUCUUGACAUGCACGGAUUAACUCCCUGAAAGGGGAGCCACGCCUUCGGGUGGAACGUGCACAGGUGCUGCAUGGCUGUCGUCAGCUCGUGCUGUGAAGUGUCGGGUUAAGUCCCUUAACGAGCGAAACCCUUGUCGCUAGUUGCCAGCGAGUCAUGUCGGGGACUCUAGCGAGACCGCCGGUGUUAAACCGGAGGAAGGUGGGGAUGACGUCAAGUCCUCAUGGCCUUUAUGACUAGGGCUGCACACGUCCUACAAUGGCAUGCACAAAGGGACGCAAAGUCGCGAGACCAAGCAAAUCCCAAAAAACAUGCCCCAGUUCGGAUUGCAGG